UUGGGUUUUCAAGAGAUGAGGCUGUGGGCAUGGUUUUGAGGUGCCCAGCAUUGUUUACUUUCAGUGUUGAGAACAACUUUAUGCCAAAAUUUGAGUACUUCUCUGAGGAAAUAAAGGGGAAAUUAGAGGAGUUGAAGGAGUUCCCUCAAUAUUUUGCUUUUAGUUUGGAAAACAGGAUAAAGCCAAGGCACAUAGAGGUUAUUCAAAGUGGGAUUAAAAUGGCUUUGCCAACAAUGCUUAAGAGUACUGAUGAAGAGUUCAGGGAGCUGCUAACGCAAGGAGCUGGAUAGAGUGGUGGG
This 299-nucleotide unclassified non-coding RNA is filed under the name Hevea brasiliensis (rubber tree). The record is from RNAcentral. Lineage: Eukaryota; Viridiplantae; Streptophyta; Magnoliopsida; Malpighiales; Euphorbiaceae.